Molecule: ribosomal RNA, 1173 nt
Filed under: Escherichia coli
Lineage: Bacteria; Pseudomonadati; Pseudomonadota; Gammaproteobacteria; Enterobacterales; Enterobacteriaceae
Description: partial 23S ribosomal RNA
Rfam family: Bacterial large subunit ribosomal RNA
Source: RNAcentral
GGGACACGUGGUAUCCUGUCUGAAUAUGGGGGGACCAUCCUCCAAGGCUAAAUACUCCUGACUGACCGAUAGUGAACCAGUACCGUGAGGGAAAGGCGAAAAGAACCCCGGCGAGGGGAGUGAAAAAGAACCUGAAACCGUGUACGUACAAGCAGUGGGAGCACGCUUAGGCGUGUGACUGCGUACCUUUUGUAUAAUGGGUCAGCGACUUAUAUUCUGUAGCAAGGUUAACCGAAUAGGGGAGCCGAAGGGAAACCGAGUCUUAACUGGGCGUUAAGUUGCAGGGUAUAGACCCGAAACCCGGUGAUCUAGCCAUGGGCAGGUUGAAGGUUGGGUAACACUAACUGGAGGACCGAACCGACUAAUGUUGAAAAAUUAGCGGAUGACUUGUGGCUGGGGGUGAAAGGCCAAUCAAACCGGGAGAUAGCUGGUUCUCCCCGAAAGCUAUUUAGGUAGCGCCUCGUGAAUUCAUCUCCGGGGGUAGAGCACUGUUUCGGCAAGGGGGUCAUCCCGACUUACCAACCCGAUGCAAACUGCGAAUACCGGAGAAUGUUAUCACGGGAGACACACGGCGGGUGCUAACGUCCGUCGUGAAGAGGGAAACAACCCAGACCGCCAGCUAAGGUCCCAAAGUCAUGGUUAAGUGGGAAACGAUGUGGGAAGGCCCAGACAGCCAGGAUGUUGGCUUAGAAGCAGCCAUCAUUUAAAGAAAGCGUAAUAGCUCACUGGUCGAGUCGGCCUGCGCGGAAGAUGUAACGGGGCUAAACCAUGCACCGAAGCUGCGGCAGCGACACUAUGUGUUGUUGGGUAGGGGAGCGUUCUGUAAGCCUGUGAAGGUGUGCUGUGAGGCAUGCUGGAGGUAUCAGAAGUGCGAAUGCUGACAUAAGUAACGAUAAAGCGGGUGAAAAGCCCGCUCGCCGGAAGACCAAGGGUUCCUGUCCAACGUUAAUCGGGGCAGGGUGAGUCGACCCCUAAGGCGAGGCCGAAAGGCGUAGUCGAUGGGAAACAGGUUAAUAUUCCUGUACUUGGUGUUACUGCGAAGGGGGGACGGAGAAGGCUAUGUUGGCCGGGCGACGGUUGUCCCGGUUUAAGCGUGUAGGCUGGUUUUCCAGGCAAAUCCGGAAAAUCAAGGCUGAGGCGUGAUGACGAGGCACUACGGUGCUGAAGCAACAA